RNAcentral lists this ribosomal RNA (497 nucleotides) under uncultured bacterium. RNAcentral's name for it is "partial 16S ribosomal RNA". It matches the Rfam family "Bacterial small subunit ribosomal RNA", at positions 28 to 507 of the family's 1533-position model. The record is from RNAcentral.
GAUGAACGCUGGCGGCGUGCCUAAUACAUGCAAGUCGAGCGAACGGACGAGAAGCUUGCUUUUCUGAUGUUAGCGGCGGACGGGUGAGUAACACGUGGAUAACCUACCUAUAAGACUGGGAUAACUUCGGGAAACCGGAGCUAAUACCGGAUAAUACUUUGAACCGCAUGGUUCAAAAGUGAAAGACGGUCUUGCUGUCACUUAUAGAUGGAUCCGCGCUGCAUUAGCUAGUUGGUAAGGUAACGGCUUACCAAGGCAACGAUGCAUAGCCGACCUGAGAGGGUGAUCGGCCACACUGGAACUGAGACACGGUCCAGACUCCUACGGGAGGCAGCAGUAGGGAAUCUUCCGCAAUGGGCGAAAGCCUGACGGAGCAACGCCGCGUGAGUGAUGAAGGUCUUCGGAUCGUAAAACUCUGUUAUUAGGGAAGAACAUAUGUGUAAGUAACUGUGCACAUCUUGACGGUACCUAAUCAGAAAGCCACGGCUAACUACGUG